Molecule: ribosomal RNA, 358 nt
Filed under: uncultured bacterium
Lineage: Bacteria
Description: partial 16S ribosomal RNA
Rfam family: Bacterial small subunit ribosomal RNA
Source: RNAcentral
CCUACGGGAGGCAGCAGUGAGGAAUAUUGGUCAAUGGCCAGAAGGCUGAACCAGCCAAGCCGCGUGAGGGAGGAAGGCGCAGAGCGUCGCAGACCUCUUUUGCCGGGGGACAAAAGUCCGGACGGGUCCGGUUCUGAGGGUACCCGGAGAAAAAGCAUCGGCUAACUCCGUGCCAGCAGCCGCGGUAAUACGGAGGAUGCGAGCGUUAUCCGGAUUCAUUGGGUUUAAAGGGUGCGCAGGGGGGCCUUUAGGCCGGUGGUGAAAUCGCGGGGCUCAGCCCGGCCGAGCCGUCGGAACUGGGGGCCUUGAGUGCGGUGGAGGCAUGUGGAAUGCGCGGUGUAGCGGUGAAAUGCAUAGA